GUGGGCCGGUCUGUCGCCUGCACCCUUGCGUGCAUGAGGAAAGUCCGGGCAACACAGAGCAUUCCACUUCCUAACAGAAAGUUGUUCGUGAGGGCAAAGUAACGCAGAAGAAAAUAACCGCCGUUGCCUCGUACAGCGGUAAGGGUGAGAAGGUGGGGUAAGAGCCCACCGGCUCUGUAGUGAUGCAGAGGCCGUGCGUCUUGGAAGUUGUAAGGUCAUGUAAACCGCGCGUUAUGAGGGUUGCUCGCCCAAGCCGGAGGGUGGACCGCUAAAGCAGUAUGGUGACAUGCUACUCAGAUAAAUGACAGACACCUUCUCCUUCGUGAGGAGGUACAGAACCCGGCUUACAGGCCCUCUG
This 358-nucleotide RNase P RNA is filed under the name uncultured Bacteroides sp. RNAcentral's name for it is "Bacterial RNase P class A". It matches the Rfam family "Bacterial RNase P class A". From Rfam's summary of the family: Ribonuclease P (RNase P) is a ubiquitous endoribonuclease, found in archaea, bacteria and eukarya as well as chloroplasts and mitochondria. Its best characterised activity is the generation of mature 5'-ends of tRNAs by cleaving the 5'-leader elements of precursor-tRNAs. The record is from RNAcentral. Lineage: Bacteria; Pseudomonadati; Bacteroidota; Bacteroidia; Bacteroidales; Bacteroidaceae.